Molecule: ribosomal RNA, 497 nt
Filed under: uncultured bacterium
Lineage: Bacteria
Description: partial 16S ribosomal RNA
Rfam family: Bacterial small subunit ribosomal RNA
Source: RNAcentral
GACGAACGCUAGCGGCGUGCCUAAUACAUGCAAGUAGAACGCUGAAGAGAGGAGCUUGCUCUUCUUGGAUGAGUUGCGAACGGGUGAGUAACGCGUAGGUAACCUGCCUGGUAGCGGGGGAUAACUAUUGGAAACGAUAGCUAAUACCGCAUAAAAUGGAUUAUCGCAUGAUAAUCCAUUGAAAGGUGCAAAUGCAUCACUACCAGAUGGACCUGCGUUGUAUUAGCUAGUUGGUGGGGUAACGGCUCACCAAGGCGACGAUACAUAGCCGACCUGAGAGGGUGAUCGGCCACACUGGGACUGAGACACGGCCCAGACUCCUACGGGAGGCAGCAGUAGGGAAUCUUCGGCAAUGGACGGAAGUCUGACCGAGCAACGCCGCGUGAGUGAAGAAGGUUUUCGGAUCGUAAAGCUCUGUUGUAAGAGAAGAACGAGUGUGAGAGUGGAAAGUUCACACUGUGACGGUAUCUUACCAGAAAGGGACGGCUAACUACGUG